AUUUGUUGAAAAUAACUGCCCCCUCCCCGGCUCAGGCCAUAGUCAUCUGUGAGAUUCAGUGCCUAGAUCGUCCAGGGCUUUAGCUCACCGUCCACUGCCAGUGUGGAAGGGUGAAACCCUGGCUCCCACAGCC
This is a small nucleolar RNA of Fukomys damarensis (Damara mole-rat), 133 nucleotides long. Lineage: Eukaryota; Metazoa; Chordata; Mammalia; Rodentia; Bathyergidae. The record is from Ensembl.